This 71-nucleotide transfer RNA is filed under the name Vicugna pacos (alpaca). RNAcentral describes it as "tRNA-Leu (CAG) (tRNA-Leu-CAG-3-1)". It matches the Rfam family "tRNA". From Rfam's summary of the family: Transfer RNA (tRNA) molecules are approximately 80 nucleotides in length. Their secondary structure includes four short double-helical elements and three loops (D, anti-codon, and T loops). Further hydrogen bonds mediate the characteristic L-shaped molecular structure. tRNAs have two regions of fundamental functional importance: the anti-codon, which is responsible for specific mRNA codon recognition, and the 3' end, to which the tRNAs corresponding amino acid is attached (by aminoacyl-tRNA synthetases). tRNAs cope with the degeneracy of the genetic code in two manners: having more than one tRNA (with a specific anti-codon) for a particular amino acid; and 'wobble' base-pairing, i.e. permitting non-standard base-pairing at the 3rd anti-codon position. Lineage: Eukaryota; Metazoa; Chordata; Mammalia; Artiodactyla; Camelidae. The record is from RNAcentral.
GGGUAUAGCUCAGUGGUAGAGUGUGCGAUUCAGCAUGCACAAGGUCCUGGGUUCAAUCCCCAGUACCACCA